RNAcentral lists this non-coding RNA (46 nucleotides) under Schistosoma mansoni. Lineage: Eukaryota; Metazoa; Platyhelminthes; Trematoda; Strigeidida; Schistosomatidae. The record is from RNAcentral.
UCACUGCCGAGGAGUCCCACAAUAGGACGAAACGGCCGUCCAGUAC